CGCGCAAAUUACCCAAUUCUAACAGUUUGAGAGAGGUAGUAACAAGAAAUAACAAUACAAGGCAAUUAAAAUGUUUUGUAAUUGGAAUGAUAGAAAUUUAAACCCUUUUUAAAGUAUCAAUUGGAGGGCAAGUCUGGUGCCAGCAGCCGCGGUAAUUCCAGCUCCAAUAGCGUAUAUUAAAAUUGUUGCAGUUAAAAAGCUCGUAGUUGAAGUUCUGCUAAAAGUAACCGGUCUG
RNAcentral lists this ribosomal RNA (235 nucleotides) under Hepatozoon canis. RNAcentral's name for it is "partial 18S ribosomal RNA". It matches the Rfam family "Eukaryotic small subunit ribosomal RNA", at positions 433 to 662 of the family's 1831-position model. Lineage: Eukaryota; Apicomplexa; Hepatozoidae. The record is from RNAcentral.